CGUUGGGCCCAAACCCAUGAACUGUGAGAUCAUGGCCUGAGCCAAAGUCUGACGCUUAACUGAUUGAGCCACCCGGGCACCUCAGGGCCAGAAAGCUCUUGAGAUGGUUUUGGUGUAUGGCUUAACCGUCAUUAAGUGGAGCAAGGUGGACCAGAACAGGAGCCACAUGGCCCAAGGCCAUGAAAGGGAGCUGUGUUCUCCAUUUGGCUGAAAUCCUCAGUCUUUCUAAUUUAUGGUCCUGCCUCACCUUAAGAACCAGUCUCUAAAGGAUUUAAGAUUUAAAUGCCAAAGUCAAUGCAAUAAAAAGCUAACCCCCCGAUUAUCCAACUGUGGUUCAGUUGAAUGACUCAAGGUGUUUCCUCCCACCUACCAGGCAGGAGUUACAGGCACCCUUCCCUACCCUAUCCUUCCCUUCCCAGAGCAGUGCACCCCGUGUUCGGGAUCGGGGACCCUGCACAUGGUUAUAGGAGGAAAGCCAUGCAAGUGCAGGGACUUGACUCCCAGCAGCCCAGCUGCUGUGUUGCCUUCUGUGGCCACAGCCCCAAUUUAGCACAGAGGAUUACAGGCUGGCAGCUGUGAAUUAUGCAAGCCAGAUUGACUCCCCGUGGCAUUCCACAUCUGGAGAAGCCUUCCUUGGGAAUCGGUACAGACGCAUCCAGGCAUUCUCGCUGCUAUUAUGAUCUUCAAAGCUACCUAGAGAAUAUUCUCUUUCAAAUGCAAAGAUUAAGAGAAGUCGAAAAUGCAUGGCAUAGUUAUUAAUUUUAAUUAAAAAAAAAAAAAACCACUCUAUAGCCAAUGCUGGUAUCCAAAAAGACACUAUUUUUUUUAAUGGCAUGAAAUACAAAAGACAUAAAAAGCACCAUUGAAAAUGCUGCUACACUAUCAAAUAAUUUAUACUUCCUCCCAUGUUAUCUAAAAAUAAAUGACACUUUUGAGGCAAUCACAUACAUUAAAUAUGGGCAAUUUGUUUCCCAAACCUUAAUUCCAGGGUUUUAAAUAGGCAAAUGAAAUAAAGAAGAUAAUCGGGAUGACUUCUGUCCCAUAACAUGCGUAGGAGAAAUAGGCGGGGUGCAGGGAAGAAAAAGGUUUUAGCACAAAAUAUUCAGCCAUCUCAAUGGAAAAGAACCUUCCACAACACACAUCAAUAGAUCGGGCUGCCUCUGCUUGCCCUGCCCAACUGGGGACUUUGCUAUAAAAUCUGAUUACUGUUAUCAGCAGGAUGCUGAUUUGGCUGUCCUGCUUCAAGGAGAGUCAUCCAAAUUACAGAUCAGCCAAAACACAGGCUGGGUGGUGCUGGCAGAUGUAGACAGAAUGCUCUGGAGUCUCUCCUUAUCCUAAGGUAGGGAGAAGAUUCUGCGGCCUGACUCAACACAAACUGUUCAUACAGGUGACAAAUACCAGACUCCCGGAACGGGAACAUGCUGACCUCCCACAUCGUGGAAAACUAGAGAAAAUUCAAAAGGGGGCCGGUGCUUGGUUCUGGGUGCUAGGAUGCACACCCCACGAGUUCCUCCCUGGAGAGAAGCAGUUUGCUUUUUGCAUCCUUUUGUUAAAGGACCUUUGGGAAAUGUGUAUUUAGUACCUAAUGUGCAGAAGGUCCUGGGCUGUCCCCUCAGAGAUAUGGAGAAGCAUAUCCCAGUGACAUGCCUGCCAGGGAGACACACAGAAGAGGUCAGAAGGCACUUGGUGAGAAAUGCCAAAGGCCUACAAAGUUCUAAGUGCUCCUGGAGCUGCAGGGGGAGUUGGGGCUUGAGCCAGGUGGGAAAGCAUCAAGGAAAAGGAGGCGUUUGACCCACAUUGAGUUCUUCCCUUAAGAGAGGAGCAGAGCCUCAAGUAGAACAUGACUUUAGUUAGCUUCUCCCAGUAAACGGAGAGAAGGGCCAAUAUAGUCGACUGGCCGUUUUGCAAAAGAUGAUCGUGCAGCCCCAGGCUGGGUGUGAGGGAUGUCACUGCUAGAAGAGGUGGAGGCUUCAGGAAGGGGUUCUGGUUCUUGCUGUUGACUAUGUAGGAAGGGACGGAAGGAAGGGAACCGGAGGGCAGCAUUCAUAACCAGCCUAUCACUCACACCGAAGAUGUGCCACAGUGGGAACUCUUGGGGAGUAAACCCGGGCUCAAAAAUGCUACUCCACUCUUUCUGGCUGGGUGGCCCUGGCUAAAUUACAGUCCUCUGUCCCCAAACCUCAAUUCCCUGGACUGUGAAAUGGGGCAGUGCCUGUCACAGUAGGGAGCUCAUUAGCAUGAAAUAAUGCAUGUAUAUCCUGGAAUACAGUAUCUUGCGUACAAAUGGUCAAUAAAUGCUACAUCUCACCUGACUCUUCUCACAUCAUCUUGCCACGCACUGGAAUAAAGACUGGGAUCACCAGCCAUGGAUUUUUCUGGAAAAUGCUUAAUUUCACAAUUCUUAUCUUGUUGGUACAUAUGACAGGCAAUAUGGCCAACCUGAGACUUAGCAGAUGCAUUCUUUCCAUUCAUAGGUAAUAAUAGCGCCUAUUUAGUAUCUUAUUGGAUCAUCCAUUCUCUAGACAUUUUUGAUGCGGGGGGUGGUAGGACAGAGAGGAGGUGAGAGAGGAGAACUUAGGAAAAAAGGAACUAUGUCCCCCUCUGGUGUGUGCUCAGUGAGUAAGCCCUGCCAAUGGCCCAGUUUCCUAGGAAACUCUGCUUGGAGACCUCAUACAAGAAACGUAUCGGCAGUUUGCUUUGUAGAAGACACACACAACUGGCAGUCAUUUUGACAAUGUGUCACAAGGCCAACGGCGUGCAGAGUACCUGAAUCAAACAAAUUUUUGAGGUGAAUAUUCACUCAGGUGGCAGUCAAUUUGUUGUUGUUUUUUUUUACAUUUAAAACACUCUAUUCAGUUGACUCAAAACGUAAGACUUUUCUUUCUCAUCAUACUCAUCCACCAUGGCAAAGGGUGUCAUUGUACUUAGUCUAGUUGGCAUCAAUAUUCUUUACUCACUAUUGAGCUCUUGCUCAAUGCCCAGGCUGCAAGACUCUCCUCCCUGCAUGCUCGAGAGAGGCCCUGGGCUCCUGCUCUCCUGGACCCGGACAGACGCCCCUCAUCUCAUUUCCCUCGAGAAGACUCCUCCAAGCUGCAGCAAAAUCCUUUGGAUUCAGGGAGUGACAAGGCAGGUACAUCUACCCUAAUCACAGAAGCUUUUUAUUUAAUCAUCUCGUCUUUGUUCUAGAAGUCCCUAUUGCCUACCCACAUCUCCUAAACAGUUUACACAAAGCUCUGUUAGUUAAUUAACAGCCUGCCUAGCCCCACAGCCAAGAUCCUUAAGGAGGCGGAAGUAAUGCUCAGAACAGACCAAGGUUUUGAGAGGUUUUAUGACAGUGAGUUUGGUCAGUCUAGUCGAGAAGAGCAAAUGAGAGUUGUGCUCUCUCCUCUGGUAUCAGAGUAUAAAUGCACCUGCUGCCUCCCUGUCCCUGGAUGAAAACAGGUGGUUUCUUAAGCAUAGUGUUCCCUCUCACCUGUGUCCCAGUGACUUCACGGCUUCUCUAAUUCUUGCUCUCUUUUGUCAAGAUGGAAUCUCAGUUAGGUUCUGAGACACCUUUUUGUAAGAGCAGUAUUAUCCUGCGAAUCCUUGCAUGAUAUCUUGACGAAGAGCCCCUCCUUGAUAAACUUUCUCUGAAACCAUCAGUGGAUGAAAAGCAGAACAACCGACUUCAGUCAGAAACCUUAAGACUCAAAAACUCACAGAGUGGGAUGAACACUAACAUGUGCUAUGAUGUAAGGCUGAGUGGACAUCAAGGGCUCAAAGAGCACAGCUUCCCGAGGGAGGAGGGUAAGGAAGCCAGGCGGGAGACAAGGGUGCCCAGAGGAAGCAAGUCAGGAGGCAAUUCGGAGCCUUCAGAAAACUGGAAGCUCAGUAAAUGGGUGAAUGCUGUGUGGAGUCAGGGGACGCUGAAGGAGUAAGGGCUAUGUCAUGGACUAUGCAGGAAAAAUAGGCAUGGCACCUCCGGAGAAGGGAGGGGGUGCAAAGAGCUGAGACGGAAGGGGAGGGUCUUUGAGGUUCUCAAGGGAGAGUCUGUUUCAGGGUAUGGUUUGUGACUUCAGCAAUAUACAGCCAACACUCGGGAAAUGUUUGCUGAGUCAGAAAGCCCUAAAACUCGGAGUGAUGAGGACAGAAAAGCUCUGGGCUCUGUCCUAAGCGCUUUACGUGUACUAGCUCAUUUAAUUCUCUGAGGUUGGUACCAAUAUGGCAGGUGAGGAAACUGAGGCAUAAGCAGGUAAACUAACUCGAGGGGGAUCACGCUGGUAAUUGACAGUGGCAUCUGGAUUAAAAGCCAGGCAUUCGGGCUGCAGAUUCUGUGAAUUCAACCACAACAGCACACAAACCACAGGGAAUAGAGUCCUCUGGGUAAUUUCUCGAUCACUUUUUGAAAAUAUACCCACCCCAACUCCCCAACUGAAAGUAUCUGUAGGAAUUAUGCUAGUGCUUAAAUUAUAGCUUACUAAAUAUGUGAGUUUUCAAUUUUUUUUUUUUUUUUUUGUCUAGGAAAUACACAUGGGGAAAGAAGGAAAAUUAUGGUCUGGUUACCACGAACUGAAUUAGGCAGAGAGAGGGUUUUUUGCUGUCUUUUUGUCUGCUUGUGGAAUUCUCUAUAACAGGUACUUUCCACUCUCAUGAUUUCACUCUGACUGAGAGAAAUAGAUUUGGUAUCAUUUCUCAAUUGAUUGAAUUUUUGCUGAGAAACAAGACAUUUUUUAAAAGGCCAAUGACUUAUCCCAUCUACCUCUAGUUGUUUUCCUGGGAAGUCAAUGGUCUUGUCCAUUUUCAAUGUUUUCAAUUAUUUUUAAAAUUUUUGGUUAACUAGACAUACCGUAAGCUGUACCAUUUUAACCAUUUUUAAGUGCACAGUUCAGUAGCAUUAAGCACAUUCAUACUCUUGUGCAGCCAUUACCACCAUCCGUUUCCCAAACUCUUUCCAUUUGUCAAAACUAAAAACUGUACCUUCCUGUUAGUAAGGAAGUUUCCCUUUAAUAGACAAAAUUAAAAGAAAUAAUUAGGCAAAGAAGAAAGGGGUUAGUUUGCUGAAUGAAGUCAACCCAAAGAAAACAAUUAUAUUCAAUCUCUUCUCUAUAGGACAGGUUUAAAAACAAAACAAAAAAGCCAGAUCUUUGUCACUGAAAUUGACAGCUUAAUCUUCAUAUAAUUCAAUUCUCUUUAAGGUGGUGUAACUUAUUGUAGCCUAGUAAAGAGAAAGUAGUUUAAAGUAUUAACCAUGUGGGUUAUCUUUGUGACUGACGCACAGCAGGGCUAACAUUCUCUUCGAAAGGCAUUACCCCGCUGGACCCCACGCCCCAGAUUCCGAUUCAAUUGAUUACCAGUAUCUCUUGAAGCUUCCCUGAAGAGCCUCAUGUGCAACCAUGGAGGAAUCCUAAAGUUUAAAGCAGUGAUAUGGGCUGAAUACCAAUUUGAAGCCAUGGAGUAAAUAUGCAUAAAUCAGCCUUCUGGUUUCUCUUUAUUCGGAGACCACUUUGAGAACGUGAUGACGUUUUGGAUCAUACCCUAGAAAUGCAUGUCUACUCACACAUGCUCACCAAAUUCAUAUCCCUUUGCAGGGGCCUUUGGUCCACUAGAAGCCCACCUUUACCUGCUGAGUGUGGAAUAAGCAGAGACAGCAGCCAAGGAGGAAACCCUGGAGAACACCAACAAAGAAUGAGCCAGCUGAGCAACCCAGGAGACUGGACGCUGCAGCCAGAGAGGUGGGAGGAGAGCCAACUGAAGGCAAGAAACGGGAGAAUUUUUAAGAGAAAAGGGUAGUGCGGACUCAGAUGCGAUGAACUGGCCCAACAAUGGCAUUGGAGAUGGUUAAGAGGAGACAGCAGGACCUAUGAAACCAUCAAGCAUGCUCUGUUGGAAGACAGGCUGGAGGGCAGAUACCAUAGAUGUACAGAGGUGAGUAGGACAGAGAGGCCACUGGAAGCAGCCAUUGGGAUUAAACUGCAAAGAGGUAUAGAUGUCAAAGGAGUCUCAGGACAGUGGUGGGUGCAGGGCCAGAACGCUGAGGGCAGGAAUGAGGAGAUGGGGUUUAGACAUGAUAAGUGCUCAUGUGAACAGCUACUGGACCUCCUUCUCCAGAUCCCAUCUGCCUUCCUUCCCACGCUUGCCUGUCUGCCUCUAUUUCCUGGUUUUGCCUGAGGCACACUCGACUCCCUGACCUCCAGACUCCAAAAUAUCUAGCCAUCUCUCUCCCUAACCCCACACCUUCAUCCAGUUGCCUGGUUCUCAUGAAUUCUACAUCUGGUUGCUCUCAAUACUUUCCCUAAUGUCCACAUCCUACCCCUUUCUCCCUUGCGCAAGCUUCAUCCACCCAUGACUCUGUUUUAACUCCACACCACUUCCAAUGUGUUUUUUAUCUUCUGUUACUCUUAGAGAUGGGCCAUCUGAAGUUCUUCAGGUCAGAUUCUAUUUUCCAAAAAUGGCCUACAACAAUAUUUCCCAUCCCACAUGAUCUCCUACAAUGUGGUAGUGACGCUCUCCCUCCCCUGAAUCUGGAUAGAGUGUGAACCAGGGAGGGCAGAGAGAGAGGGAGACACAGAAUCCAAAGCAGCUUCCAGGCUCUGAGUUGUCAGCACAGAGCCCGACGUCGGGCUCGAAGUCCUGAACCAUGAGAUCUUGACCCAAGCUAAGUCAGACGCCCAACCGACUGAGCCACCCAGGCACCCCUAAAUUUGCUUCCUGUUAAAAUCAUUCCAUUAGAUGAGCUCUAUGAGCAUUUAUUUUAGCACAUAUUUAAGCUAAUGUGUCCUGCUCUAACAAUGUGUAGUUCAAAGUUAAGUAAGUGAGCUCUCAUUCUAGUUAAAACAAGACUUUGCGGGACUCAAAUUUAAAACAAAGUCCUAUGUUCUGAGGAAUAAUGUUUUGAGGGAAAAAAAGCCACCAUAAAUUUGGGUAGGUACUCUGGAAAAUGUGUAUAAAGUAGAGGAAUGAUUCUGUGGUCUUUUUUU
Herpailurus yagouaroundi (jaguarundi) is the source of this 6956-nucleotide long non-coding RNA. RefSeq lists it as uncharacterized. The transcript has 2 exons. Lineage: Eukaryota; Metazoa; Chordata; Mammalia; Carnivora; Felidae. The record is from RefSeq and is a predicted model, not a curated record.